AGAGUUUGAUCCUGGCUCAGAACGAACGCUGGCGGCGUGGAUAAGACAUGCAAGUCGAACGGAGAUCUUGAAUAGCUUGCUAAUUAAGAUCUUAGUGGCGGACGGGUUAGUAACACGUGAGAACCUACCCUUUAGACAGGAAUAGCCCAUGGAAACGUGGAUUAAUGCCUGAUAGUCUCUACGGAGUAAAUGGUGCCUUCGGGUAUCGCUAAAGGAUGGGCUCGCGGCCUAUCAGCUUGUUGGUGAGGUAAAGGCUCACCAAGGCGACGACGGGUAGCUGGUCUGAGAGGACGAUCAGCAACACUGGAACUGAGACACGGUCCAGACACCUACGGGUGGCAGCAGUCGAGAAUCAUUCACAAUGGAGGCAACUCUGAUGGUGCAACGCCGCGUGGAGGAUGACGGUCCUAGGAUUGUAAACUCCUGUCAUUGGGGAGUAAGACUUAAGCGUUAAGAGCGUUUAAGUUUGAUAGUACCCAAAGAGGAAGGGACGGCUAACUUCGUGCCAGCAGCCGCGGUAAU
Molecule: ribosomal RNA, 522 nt
Filed under: uncultured bacterium
Lineage: Bacteria
Description: bacterial SSU rRNA
Rfam family: Bacterial small subunit ribosomal RNA
Source: RNAcentral